GAUGAACGCUGGCGGCGUGCCUAAUACAUGCAAGUCGAGCGAACAGACGAGGAGCUUGCUCCUCUGACGUUAGCGGCGGACGUGUGAGUAACACGUGGAUAACCUACCUAUAAGACUGGGAUAACUUCGGGAAACCGGAGCUAAUACCGGAUAAUAUAUUGAACCGCAUGGUUCAAUAGUGAAAGACGGUUUUGCUGUCACUUAUAGAUGGAUCCGCGCCGCAUUAGCUAGUUGGUAAGGUAACGGCUUACCAAGGCAACGAUGCGUAGCCGACCUGAGAGGGUGAUCGGCCACACUGGAACUGAGCCACGGUCCAGACUCCUACGGGAGGCAGCAGUAGGGAAUCUUCCGCAAUGGGCGAAAGCCUGACGGAGCAACGCCGCGUGAGUGAUGAAGGUCUUCGGAUCGUAAAACUCUGUUAUUAGGGAAGAACAAAUGUGUAAGUAACUAUGCACGUCUUGACGGUACCUAAUCAGAAAGCCACGGCUAACUACGUG
RNAcentral lists this ribosomal RNA (497 nucleotides) under uncultured bacterium. RNAcentral's name for it is "partial 16S ribosomal RNA". It matches the Rfam family "Bacterial small subunit ribosomal RNA", at positions 28 to 507 of the family's 1533-position model. The record is from RNAcentral.